AGCGUAGGCUAAAUCGCCGUAUCGCUUCAGUCGAGUACCUCUUCCCUUUCUCUUUCUGUAUUUUCUCUCACCCGCCGACGUCAACCUCCUGCUGCGAAAAUGGACAUGCGAGGUCUCGCCCACUUCAUUCGGGACAUCCGUCGUGCAACUGGAAACAAGAAGGAGGAAGAGAGUCGCGUGGAUGAGGAACUGGCCAAGAUACGCGCCAAGUUCAUUGAAACUAGUACGAUGACGACGUACGAUCGAAAGAAGUACGUGUGCAAGUUGAUGUUCAUCUCGAUGCUCGGCUACCCCAUUACCUUUGGCCAUAUCGAAGGCCUGAAACUCAUGUCACAGGAGAGCCCGUCCGCCAAGCUCAUCGGGUACCUCUCCACUUCCGUGUUGCUGAACGAAAACAGUGAUCUUCUGACGCUCACCACGCACACUGUAUAUCGAGACCUUCUCUCGGCAUCUGACUUGAGUCGCAGUCUCGCCCUCACAGCCGUCGCGAACACGGGAAGCCGCGAUUUUGUAGAGGUGAUGCACGAAGGCGUCUUUUCCAUCAUCAUGGAUGACAGCGUCAAUCAGCACGUCCACAAGAAGGCGCUUCUGACGCUGCUGCACAUUUAUCGCAAGUACCCCGAGAUUGUCGAUCUGAAUACCGUGAUUCCUAAGGCGGCAGAGCUGCUUCUAUCGAAACAGGACGGUGUCAGCAUGUGCGCCGUGACAUUUCUUAACGGCUGCAUCAGCAAGGAAUCGAGGCAUCUUUACAGAGGCAUCCCCGACAAGCUGAUCCAGGUUCUGGCACGCAUCAUUCUGGAAAAGCAGACGGAGCCAGGCUACGUGUACUACGGUGUCCCAGCGCCAUGGCUUCAGGCGAAGCUCCUGCGGCUGCUGCAGUAUUUCCCGCUUCCGUCAGAGGCCGACCAGCGCCAUCGCAUCAUCCUCGUUCUCCGCAAGGUUGUCAAGGCGACGGAAAAGGUGCUGAAGGAUGCGCAGGCGCAGCAGAAGCAGCGUGGCACGCAGAGCCGCGUCAGCGCAAUGAACGCGGUGCUGUUCGAGGUGGUGUCACUGUGUAUCCAGUGGGAUGUCGGCUCCAAGCUGAUUUUGGAGUGCGUGGCCCUCAUCAGCUCCUUUCUUUCCGACAAGCGGGAGUCAAAUCUGCGCUACAUCGGCCUUAGCUUGCUGGCCCGGCUCAGCUUUGUGGACGUCCCCGGCUUCGACUUUCAUAUGCACUGCCGUCAGCACCAGCAGCAGAUCAUUGUUGGGCUGCACGACUCAGACGCCUCGAUUCGGAAAAAAGCGCUCGAUGUUCUCGUGGCUAUGUGCAACCGGAGCACCGCUGACGACAUCAUCAAGGAGCUCAUCUCGUACCUCCCCAUUGCCGCGGACCCCAACUUCAAGACGAGCCUCGUUCUCUCGAUCGCGCUUCUGUCAGAGAAGUACUGCAAGGACUACAACGUGUAUGUGGAUAUCAUGCUCACAGUUGUGUCGGAGGCGGGUGACCUGUGCCCGCCAGAUAUCGUGCACCGCGUCGUUCAGGUUGUCGUCAACGAUCCGUCCGUGCAGAAGCGUGCGGCGAACAUCGUCUUCCAGGAGCUUUGGAAAAAGACAAAUGUGCCAGAGGUGAUGCUUCGUGUUGCUGCGUUCGUGCUCGGCGAGUUCGGCUACCAGAUCGCGCUGAAUGCCGAGAGCACGCCGAUGGUGCAGCUCAACCUGCUGACACAGAAGCUGAGCUUCACCUCGGUGGUGACGCAGAGCAUCAUCAUUAGCACAUUUUUCAAGUUCUACACGCUCUACGACGAUGUUGCGGUGCGCGAACGCAUUGUGAAGACGCUGCAGGCGUACGCCAACAGCCCGCACCCGGAGUUGCAGCAGCGUGCAACGGAAUUCAUUGCACUGGUGGAGUUUGCGCGGAGUGAGCUGCUAGAAAAGGUCUUCGAGCCCAUGCCACCUUUCCGAGACGAUGUGAACACUGUCAUGGAUCAGGUGAAGAGGCUGCAAAGCAGUGUGCAGGACAUUUGGGCCCUGAAGAUUCUUGAACGCGGCGUGGAGGAUGUGAACCACACCGGCAAGCGCAAGUCGAAGUCGGAGUCCGCCGAGAAACAGAAGGUGCAGGCAAAGCAAGGAAUAGCACUGCACGAUCUCUCGACUGUGUCGACAGCAGCCCCUGUGCAAGGUGACAGCACCGACCAGGCCUACGCAGAGCUUGACGCCUUGCUCGACGUGUCCCUCUCUUCCCAGGAUGUGGAUCGUGUUCGCAGCGUCUACGAAGAGCACCGCCGCCGCCUCUUCGAGCUUUCGCGCGCUGAAAAAGGCGUGCUCUUCUCGAACGAGUCGAUCGAGCUCCAGUGUACCAAGUCAACGUACGGGGCGGACACUCGCAUGAAGGUGGUGGUGCGUGACAAGACAGGCAAGGGUCUCGUUCAGGUGGCAGUGGAGGUCAUCCGUGCCGAGGCGGGGCUCAUACUGCAGUCGCGCACAAAAGACGGAACCACUGUGGCGGCUUGGGGCACAAUCGCAAUCGAGUUUGCCGCCCGCUCAUGCUUUGCUUUUAGAAGCCCGCCGAGUGUGCGAGUGCAGUACGCGCCGGCGUCCGGCAGCGCGCGCGUGUGCACCGACGUUCUGUCACUGCCGAUCCUUCCCACGACUUUCUUCACCCCAUACCAGGUAGACUCGGAUGCCAACUUUAGUCGGCUGUAUGAGACAACGAGGCGGGCAUCGACCUUCGCCGGCUGGCGCAAGGAGGCGUCGCCGUCGGCGAGGGUAGAUGCCAACGCUCUGAUGCAGUUGCUCGAGCUACAAGGGUACCGGACGAAAGUGACUGGAUUGGGAGCAAUCGUUGGCGUCGCCGCGUUCGCGGUGCAGCCGAAGGAGCGCGUUGAGUACGUACCUGUGGUGUGCGAGAUACAGACAUCCGCAAGUGAAAUGCAGGUGUUCGUGUACACCGAGUCCUCGGUGCUUCAGCAUGGUGCCCUCGACACAAUCAAGUUCGCCCUACAAUAGACAUCGCCCGAUCCCCUCCGCUACGCAGAGAGACAAGCAUGCCGAGUGCUGGCAGAAAGCUUUAUAAAACGAAAGGCUUCGCUGUCGCUCUUUCUCGGUCGUCUCUCCCAGUGGGUGUUUAUCUCCUCUUUACAGCUCUUUUUAUCGAGUGUCGUCUGGGAUGGUCAGCGCUUUUCGUUGCUGUGCUGCCGGAUGAGGCGAGCACCGCACUGUUGCUGCGCGUUGUCACUCAUCAUGAUCGCUUUGUUGAGUUGUCUUUGUGCUUCUUUUUUUUUCACAUGCCCUCCAGCCUGUUUUCUCUCCUGGAAGGGGAGCACGGCAGCGACGGCUGCGAUCUUGGAGCAACGCGCCUGACGCGGGCGUGCAAGGGCACACGCACUCUGCCCGAGCCAAUUUUUUUGGCCGUCGUUUCGACACUUAAACAGAGAAGCCCUAGGGUGUGGUUUAAUUGCUUCGUGCGAGUCCAACCGUUGCACGUUGUCGUGCAUUGACCUGCCGCGUGGCGCGUAAAGGAACCCGUUGCCGCGCCAUGUAUGUGCGUCCGGUCUGUGCUCCUGCGAGCGUUUGUCGGCUGAUAUCCUACCUUUUACUGCUGUCUCUAGUUCACGCCGCCCUCAUGACGUGGGCACAAACACCUCCGCGCGUGGCAUCCCCGGGUCCGGUGUGUCCAGCUCGGUCUGGGUGGACGCCGAGCAGCCCCCUCUCCCCGCCCCCAUCCCGGCCGAAUGCCGAGCCACUUCUGGCGGUGCGCGUGCCAAGCGCCUACGACGUGGGCGAGUGAGAGCGAGUCGUCGCUGCGGAUGUCGGCGGGCGGGUCCUGGACGGCGUGGCGCCGGGGCGAGCGGCGGCAGUGAACGCGUUUGUGGUUCUCAUCGGAUAGGCAAAAAGUGUCCGCGCGACUCGAGCGUAUGCCACACCCGGCCCUCGCACCGCCUGCUGGUGUGGGGCGCCUGAGAGCCACCCUACGGUGCGCGGGGUGGGUGGGCGGCGCUUGAGGGCACGGGCCCUCCUCGGGCGACCGGGUCGGCGCACUGCUGCAACGCGUGUCUACCGGUGCUUCGCACCACGCGGAUGCGGCCUGCGACAGGGUCGGGGGUGGAGCGGCGUUGGACCUCACGUUGUGCGGCAGAGAAAUAGGCGUGUCGCAAAGAAGAAAAGUUUUUAGUGCGCGCCCUACGCGUGCAAGUCUUUCAGGGUACAUUUUUUUGUCGCACGGACCAGCUUGUGGGGAAAGAGAAGUCGCGAUGGAUGUGCAGGUGCGUUGAUGCGUG
Molecule: unclassified non-coding RNA, 4256 nt
Filed under: Leishmania donovani
Lineage: Eukaryota; Euglenozoa; Kinetoplastea; Trypanosomatida; Trypanosomatidae
Description: gene:LdHU3.07.0090(CDS-product:alpha-adaptin-like _protein)
Source: RNAcentral